This 2223-nucleotide ribosomal RNA is filed under the name Triticum aestivum (bread wheat). Its description in RNAcentral is "partial small subunit ribosomal RNA". Lineage: Eukaryota; Viridiplantae; Streptophyta; Magnoliopsida; Poales; Poaceae. The record is from RNAcentral.
AUGUCCGGGGAGCUGCCAUCAGCUCUGAGCAACUGCACAAAUCUCAUAACAGUUGACCUCAGGAGCAACAAUUUUACUGGAGAACUUACCAAGGUCAAUUUCUCCAACCUGCCCAAACUAAAAACUUUAGACCUUCUGUACAACAACUUCAGUGGCAAAAUUCCCGAGAGCAUAUACUCUUGCAGCAAUCUGAUUGCACUGCGACUAUCUGGCAACAAAUUAAAUGGGCAGCUUUCACCACGAAUAGGUGAUCUGAAGCACCUCACUUUCCUGUCACUUGCUAAAAAUUCUUUCAAAAACAUCACAGAUGCACUUCGAAUCCUUCAGAGCUGUACAAACCUUACAACCUUACUUAUUGGGCAGAACUUCAAGGGAGAACUCAUGCCAGAGGAUGACUGGCUUAAUGGUUUUGAGAAUCUUCAGAUUUUGGACAUCGAAGAAUGCCCAUUGUUUGGGAAAAUAUCUCAUUGGAUAUCAAGGCUCGCAAAUUUGGAGAUGUUAUUUUUAACUAGCAAUCAACUCACUGGACCAAUACCAGGCUGGAUCAACUCCCUAAGCCAUCUCUUGUACAUGGAUGUGUCAAACAACAAUCUUACAGGUGAAAUCCCGUUAACCUUAAUGGAAAUGCCAAUGCUAAAAUCAAUUGAAAACGCAACUCAUUGGAAGGCAAGGCCAAGGGUCUUUGAGCUGCCUGUUUAUGAUGGUCCAUCACUUCAAUACCGCGUUGUUACAUCUUUCCCGACAGUGUUGAAUCUAAGCAACAACUACUUCACAGGUGUGACCCCCCCACGGAUUGGUCAGUUGAAAGUGCUUGUUCUACUUGAUUUCAGUUUCAACAAGUUAUCCGGGCAGAUCCCACAAUCGGUUUGCAACCUCACAAACUUGCAGGUGCUAGACUUGUCCAGCAACAAUCUCACAGGUGCUAUCCCAGCUGCAUUGAAUAGCCUGCACUUCCUUUCAGCAUUCAACAUUUCGAACAAUGACCUAGAAGGGCCUAUUCCAUCUGGAGGCCAGUUUAAUACAUUUCAAAAUUCUAGUUUCGAUGGGAAUCCAAAGCUCUGUGGCUCUAUGCUCACUCACAAAUGUCGUCCAGCUUCAACACCUCUAGUUCCAAGAAAACAAGGAAAUAAGGUCAUUUUUGCAGUUGCAUUUGGUGUGUUCUUUGGAGGUAUUGCUUUUCUUUUGUUGCUGGGGCGUCUCCUUGUCUCAGUCAGGAUGAAGGGUUUUACAGCAAAAAGUCGAAGGAAGAAUAACGGAGGCAAUGAGGCAACUUCAUUCUACUCUAGUUCAGAGCAAACACUAGUGGUGAUGCAGAGGCCACAAGGAAAAGGGGAAGAAAACAAGCUCAAAUUCGCCAACAUUGUGAAAGCUACGAACAACUUUGACAAGGAGAACAUCAUUGGAUAUGGAGAUUAUGGAUUAGUCUACAAGGCAGAGCUACCUGAUGGAUCCAAGCUGGCAAUCAAAAAGCUCAAUGGUGAAAUGUUUCUGAUGGAAAGAGAAUUUAGAGCAGAGGUUGAUGCACUCUCCAUGGCACAGCAUGAAAAUCUUGUACCAUUGUGGGGUUACUGCGCACAGGGAAACUCAAGGCUGCUCAUUUAUUCUUACAUGGAGAAUGGCAGCCUGGAUGAUUGGCUUCAUAACAGGGAUGAUGAUGCCAAUUCCUGUCUUGACUGGCCGACUCGGCUCAAGAUUGCACAAGGAGCGAGCCUGGGCCUUUCUUAUAUCCAUGAUGUCUGCAAGCCUCAGAUUGUCCAUCGUGACAUCAAAUCCAGCAACAUCCUACUGGACAAAGAAUUUAAAGCUUAUGUUGCAGACUUUGGGCUAGCCAGAUUGAUCCUUCCCAACCAAACACAUGUCACAACUGAGUUAGUUGGCACAACGGGUUACAUUCCCCCUGAGUAUGGGCAAGCAUGGGUUGCUACGUUAAGAGGUGAUAUGUACAGUUUCGGGGUAGUCCUUCUUGAGCUGCUCACAUGGAGGCGACCUAUUCCAGUCCUGUCUACGUCAAAAGAACUUGUCCCGUGGGUUCUACAGAUGAGGUCUGAGGAUAAGCAGAUUGAGGUCCUGGAUCCAACACUUAAAGGAACAGGGUAUGAAGAGCAAAUGCUGAAGGUGCUUCAAACUGCUUGCAGGUGUGUCGAUCAUAAUCAAUUCAGGAGGCCAACUAUCAUGGAAGCAGUCUCCUGCCUGGCCAGUAUAAAUGCUGACCUGGACACAUGA